RNAcentral lists this ribosomal RNA (1064 nucleotides) under uncultured Mycoplasmataceae bacterium. Its description in RNAcentral is "bacterial SSU rRNA". It matches the Rfam family "Bacterial small subunit ribosomal RNA", at positions 49 to 1118 of the family's 1533-position model. RNAcentral also lists the same sequence under 1 other name. The record is from RNAcentral. Lineage: Bacteria; Bacillati; Mycoplasmatota; Mollicutes; Mycoplasmatales; Mycoplasmataceae.
UAAUACAUGCAGUCGAACGAAAUAUUUUAUAUUUUAGUGGCGAACGGGUGAGUAAUGUAUUCCUAAUCUACUCUAGUGUGGGGAAUAACUAUUGGAAACGAUAGCUAAUACCGCAUAGGAUUUUUAUAGGCAUCUAUAAAAGUUUAAAGGCGCGCUUUGUAGCGUCGCUCUAGAAUGAGGGAAUAUCACAUUAGCUUGUUGGUAAGGUAAAAGCUUACCAAGGCGAUGAUGUGUAGCCAAACUGAGAGGUUGAUUGGCCACAAUGGGACUGAGACACGGCCCAUACUCCUACGGGAGGCAGCAGUAGGGAAUUUUCCACAAUGGACGAAAGUCUGAUGGAGCAAUGCCGCGUGAGGGAUGAAGGUCUUCGGAUCGUAAACCUCUGUUGUGAAGGAAGAAUAACUUAGAUAGUAAAUGAUCUAUGUUUGACGGUACUUUACCAGAAAGUCACGGCUAACUACGUGCCAGCAGCCGCGGUAAUACAUAGGUGGCAAGCGUUAUCCGGAUUUAUUGGGCGUAAAGAGUGCACAGGUGGUUUAUCAAGUCAGUUGUUAAAUACCAAGGCUCAACCUUGGCUCGCAAUUGAAACUGAUAGACUAGAAUAUCGGUGGGGGUAGUAGAAUUCCAUGUGUAGUGGUGGAAUACAUAAAUAUAUGGAGGAAUACCAGUGGCGAAGGCGGCUACCUGAACGAUUAUUGACACUUAAGCACGAAAGCGUGGGGAGCAAAUAGGAUUAGAUACCCCAGUAGUCCACGCCGUANACGAUCUAGACUAGACGUUGGGAUAACCCAGUGUCACAGCUAACGCAUUAAGUCUAGCGCCUGGGUAGUAUGCACGCAAGUGUGAAACUCANAGGAAUUGACGGGGACCAGCACAAGUGGUGGAGCAUGUGGUUUAAUUCGAAGAUACGCGAAGACCCUUACCUACACUUUGAAUGCUUGGCAAAGCUAUAGAGAUAUAGCGGAGGUCAACCAGUGCACAGGUGGUGCAUGGUUGUCGUCAGCUCGUGUCGUGAGAUGUUUCGGGUAAGUCCGGCAACGAGCGCAACCCCUAUCUUAUGGUUA